This 253-nucleotide ribosomal RNA is filed under the name uncultured bacterium. Its description in RNAcentral is "partial 16S ribosomal RNA". It matches the Rfam family "Bacterial small subunit ribosomal RNA", at positions 524 to 776 of the family's 1533-position model. The record is from RNAcentral.
UACGUAGGGCGCAAGCGUUAUCCGGAAUUAUUGGGCGUAAAGAGCUCGUAGGCGGUUUGUCGCGUCUGCCGUGAAAGUCCGGGGCUCAACUCCGGAUCUGCGGUGGGUACGGGCAGACUAGAGUGAUGUAGGGGAGACUGGAAUUCCUGGUGUAGCGGUGAAAUGCGCAGAUAUCAGGAGGAACACCGAUGGCGAAGGCAGGUCUCUGGGUCGGCCCUGACGCUGAGGCGCGAAAGCGUGGGGAGCGAACGGG